UGGUAGGGGUGCUUGGACAGUUGUCCAGGCUGAGAUUACACCCGUAGAACCUGAUUCGGAUAAUGCCGACGUAGGGAAACUG
Molecule: non-coding RNA, 82 nt
Filed under: uncultured Prevotella sp.
Lineage: Bacteria; Pseudomonadati; Bacteroidota; Bacteroidia; Bacteroidales; Prevotellaceae
Description: TPP riboswitch (THI element)
Rfam family: TPP riboswitch aptamer (THI element)
About the family: Vitamin B(1) in its active form thiamin pyrophosphate (TPP) is an essential coenzyme that is synthesised by coupling of pyrimidine and thiazole moieties in bacteria. The previously detected thiamin-regulatory element, thi box was extended, resulting in a new, highly conserved RNA secondary structure, the THI element, which is widely distributed in eubacteria and also occurs in some archaea.
Source: RNAcentral